This is a non-coding RNA of Caenorhabditis elegans, 21 nucleotides long. NCBI's taxonomy places the organism in Eukaryota, Metazoa, Nematoda, Chromadorea, Rhabditida, Rhabditidae. The record is from Ensembl.
UAGUAAAUUCUGUUGUUUUAC